This 404-nucleotide long non-coding RNA is filed under the name Homo sapiens (human). RNAcentral describes it as "non-protein coding lnc-SSTR1-4:1". Lineage: Eukaryota; Metazoa; Chordata; Mammalia; Primates; Hominidae. The record is from RNAcentral.
CAUCUUCAGGUGACUUUCUGAGAUGCUAUUUCUGGCAAUUGUGGUGGUAAAUCCUUCAACAUUUGGAUCACUGAGUUCUUCGAUUUUCUUCCUUCUCUUCAGAAAUUGAAGUUGUAAAAUUGUUUGAGAAGUUUUAUCAGUUCCUGGAUGCAUUUGAAUAACACUAACCAGAGGACCAAGUAAACUAUAUAGUUUGGAUGCAUUUGAAAACUACAUAUAUAGUUUGAAACUACAUAUAUAUAGUUGAAAACUACGCUAGUCACAACACAAAGCGAUGGUCACUUGGAGUCAUGGAUCCAAUAUGCACACAGUUGUGGAAGAAAUGCAGAGACAAUUUAAUGUGUUUUCAAUGAAGAAUUGGCAGUUGUGGAAGGAAUACUGCAGGUCCUCUUCUACUCUCAAAG